UGAGAGGGACUACUAGAUUGAGGAAUGAAACAUCUCAAUCACUGCCAAACAGUGCAGCCUUGCUUGGAGGAGCAUGUCCUGGGCACGGACGGCUCCUGCAUCAGUCUCUGGGGAAGUGCAGGCAAAUUAUGAAAUGAAGAAUGCUAUCAUGUGGAUCUUCAGGGAAGAAGUCAAACAGUAACAUUCUUCAGUUAUGUUUGAAUAUUUAAAUGAAGCUUUCAUGUGCACAAGUUGCAGUACUGGUGUUCUGCUGUCUCAUUUGGGCAUGUACUUCAGGUAACAGCACUCAAUGUUGAAAUGAGAGCUGGGAACGAGAUGGAUUAACUGAUGAACUGCCUGAUUGAUUUGGGUGGGAAGUGCUGAGUACACCCAAGUCUGAUUAACACAUGGAAGCAGGAUUCAUUUGAAGGUGCCUCUGUGUUGCACUACCAUAUUUUACCUGAGACUUUCUGGACAUGCCCUGUGUUGAGCUGUUAUUCUGCCAACUGAGUUCCAUGUAUUAAAUCUUUUGUGAAUAGAAAACUUCAUUGACAUGUGAAAGCCAAAAUUCUAAACUUGCCUUGGGAAAGAAGAGGAGCAGUAUUUGGAAGGAAAAAAAAAGAAAAAA
Gallus gallus (chicken) is the source of this 607-nucleotide long non-coding RNA. NCBI's taxonomy places the organism in Eukaryota, Metazoa, Chordata, Aves, Galliformes, Phasianidae. The record is from Ensembl.